Molecule: ribosomal RNA, 1331 nt
Filed under: Salmonella enterica subsp. enterica serovar Enteritidis
Lineage: Bacteria; Pseudomonadati; Pseudomonadota; Gammaproteobacteria; Enterobacterales; Enterobacteriaceae
Description: partial 23S ribosomal RNA
Rfam family: Bacterial large subunit ribosomal RNA
Source: RNAcentral
UGGGCAGGUUGAAGGUUGGGUAACACUAACUGGAGGACCGAACCGACUAAUGUUGAAAAAUUAGCGGAUGACCUGUGGCUGGGGGUGAAAGGCCAAUCAAACCGGGAGAUAGCUGGUUCUCCCCGAAAGCUAUUUAGGUAGCGCCUCGUGAAUUCAUCUCCGGGGGUAGAGCACUGUUUCGGCUAGGGGGCCAUCCCGGCUUACCAACCCGAUGCAAACUGCGAAUACCGGAGAAUGUUAUCACGGGAGACACACGGCGGGUGCUAACGUCCGUCGUGAAGAGGGAAACAACCCAGACCGCCAGCUAAGGUCCCAAAGUCAUGGUUAAGUGGGAAACGAUGUGGGAAGGCCCAGACAGCCAGGAUGUUGGCUUAGAAGCAGCCAUCAUUUAAAGAAAGCGUAAUAGCUCACUGGUCGAGUCGGCCUGCGCGGAAGAUGUAACGGGGCUAAACCAUGCACCGAAGCUGCGGCAGCGACACUGUGUGUUGUUGGGUAGGGGAGCGUUCUGUAAGCCUGUGAAGGUGUGUCGUGAGGCAUGCUGGAGGUAUCAGAAGUGCGAAUGCUGACAUAAGUAACGAUAAAGCGGGUGAAAAGCCCGCUCGCCGGAAGACCAAGGGUUCCUGUCCAACGUUAAUCGGGGCAGGGUGAGUCGACCCCUAAGGCGAGGCCGAAAGGCGUAGUCGAUGGGAAACGGGUUAAUAUUCCCGUACUUGGUGUUACUGCGAAGGGGGGACGGAGAAGGCUAUGUUGGCCGGGCGACGGUUGUCCCGGUUUAAGCGUGUAGGUGUGUGUUCCAGGUAAAUCCGGUUCACUUUAACACUGAGGCGUGACGACGAGGCACUACGGUGCUGAAGCAACAAAUGCCCUGCUUCCAGGAAAAGCCUCUAAGCAUCAGGUAACAUCAAAUCGUACCCCAAACCGACACAGGUGGUCAGGUAGAGAAUACCAAGGCGCUUGAGAGAACUCGGGUGAAGGAACUAGGCAAAAUGGUGCCGUAACUUCGGGAGAAGGCACGCUGACACGUAGGUGAAGUGAUUUACUCAUGGAGCUGAAGUCAGUCGAAGAUACCAGCUGGCUGCAACUGUUUAUUAAAAACACAGCACUGUGCAAACACGAAAGUGGACGUAUACGGUGUGACGCCUGCCCGGUGCCGGAAGGUUAAUUGAUGGGGUCAGCGCAAGCGAAGCUCCUGAUCGAAGCCCCGGUAAACGGCGGCCGUAACUAUAACGGUCCUAAGGUAGCGAAAUUCCUUGUCGGGUAAGUUCCGACCUGCACGAAUGGCGUAAUGAUGGCCAGGCUGUCUCCACCCGAGACUCAGUGAAAUUGAACUC